This 1319-nucleotide long non-coding RNA is filed under the name Phasianus colchicus (ring-necked pheasant). RNAcentral describes it as "lncRNA (ENSPCLG00000016716.1)". Lineage: Eukaryota; Metazoa; Chordata; Aves; Galliformes; Phasianidae. The record is from RNAcentral.
GGGGUCCUUAUGCAGUCCUUAUGGGGCAAGGGGGUUUUAUGGGGUCUUAUGGGGGAUUUAUGGGGUCCUUAUGGGGUCCUUACAGGGUCCUAUGGGGUCUUACAGGGUCCUAUGGGAUCUGAUGGUGUCCUAUGGGGUCUUAUGGGGUCCCUAUAAAAUAAGGAGGUCCUAUGGGGUCCUAUGGGGUCUUAUGGGAUCCUUAUAGGGCAAAGGUGUCUUAUGGGGUCCUAUGGGGUUCUAUGGGGUCUUAUGGCAGAUUUAUGGGGUCCUAUGAGAUCCUAUGGGAUCGGAUGGGGUCUUAUGGGAUCUUCUGGGGUCCUAUGGGGUCUUAUGUGGUUUUAUGGGGUCCUUAUAGGGUCUUAUGGGAUCUGAUGCGGUCCUAUGGGGUCUUAUGCGGUCCCUAUAAAAUAAGGAGGUCCUAUGAGGUCCAAUGGGGUCUUAUGGGGUCCUUAUAGGGCAAAGGUGUCUUAUAGGGUCUUAUGGGGUCCUGUGGGGGAUUUAUGGGGUUUUAUGGGGUCUUAUGGGGUCCUAUUGCGUCUUAUGGGGGAUUUGUGGGAUUCUAUGGGGUCUUAUGGGCUCUUACGGGGUUUUAUGGGGUCCCUAUAGGAUAAGGAGGUUUUAUGGGGUCCUUAUGGGGUCUUAUGAGCUCUUAGGGGUUUUUAUGGGGUCCCUACAGGAUAAGGAGGUUUUAUGGGGUCCUUAUGGGGGAUUUAUGGGGUCUUAUGGGGUCCUUAUGGGGUCUUAUGGGGGAUUUAUGGGGCAUUUAUGGGGUCUUAUGGGGUCCUUAUGGGGUCUUAUGGGGGAUUUAUGGGGUCUUACGGGGUCCUUACAGGGUAAAGGGGUCUUAUGGGAUCUUAAGGGGGAUUUAUGGGGUCCUUAUGGGGCAAAGGGGUCUUAUGGGGUCUUAUGAGGAUUUAUGGGGUCCUAUGGGAUCUUAUGGGGUCUUAUGGGGUCCCAUAAGUUCUUAUAGGGUCCUCAUGGGACAAAGGGAUCUUAUGGGGUCUUAUAGGGUCCUAUGGGGUCCAAUGGGGUCUUAAGGGGUCCUAUGGCAUCUUAUAGGGUUCCACGGGGUCUUAUAGGGUCCUUAAGGGGUAAAGGCAUCUUACGGGGUCUUAUAGGGUCAUUAUGAGGCCAAGGGAUCUUAUGGGGUUCUGUGGGGUAUUAUAGGGUCCUUAAGGGGGAAAGGGAUCUUAUAGGGUCUUAUGGGGUCGUUAUGGGACAAAAGGAGUCCUAUGGGGUUCCAUGGGGUCUUAUAGGGUCCUUAAAGGGGAAAGGCAUCUUAUGGGGUCCUAUAGGGUCCAAUGGGGUCUUAUGGGGUU